UACGUAGGGUGCAAGCGUUAAUCGGAAUUACUGGGCGUAAAGCGUGCGCAGGCGGUUUUGUAAGUCUGUCGUGAAAUCCCCGGGCUCAACCUGGGAAUUGCGAUGGAGACUGCAAGGCUAGAAUCUGGCAGAGGGGGGUAGAAUUCCACGUGUAGCAGUGAAAUGCGUAGAGAUGUGGAGGAACACCGAUGGCGAAGGCAGCCCCCUGGGUCAAGAUUGACGCUCAUGCACGAAAGCGUGGGGAGCAAAGAGG
Molecule: ribosomal RNA, 253 nt
Filed under: uncultured bacterium
Lineage: Bacteria
Description: partial 16S ribosomal RNA
Rfam family: Bacterial small subunit ribosomal RNA
Source: RNAcentral